This 27-nucleotide non-coding RNA is filed under the name Rattus norvegicus (Norway rat). Lineage: Eukaryota; Metazoa; Chordata; Mammalia; Rodentia; Muridae. The record is from RNAcentral.
UAAUGGUCCCGAUCGGAUACCUGAGAG